Microcebus murinus (gray mouse lemur) is the source of this 2440-nucleotide long non-coding RNA. RefSeq lists it as uncharacterized. NCBI's taxonomy places the organism in Eukaryota, Metazoa, Chordata, Mammalia, Primates, Cheirogaleidae. The record is from RefSeq and is a predicted model, not a curated record.
UUACCAGGAGGCAUAUGUUGCAUGCCGGGCACAGAGCUGGGAAUUAGACACGGUGGCUGAAGACAUGGACAAAGAUACAGCAAAAUACGUGUCUCAAAAACAUCCACUCCAUCCACAGCCUGCAGCUCGAGACAGCCAUGGUCGCCUACUUAUGACUGGAAGGGGAAAAUCAUUCUCUCUGCCCCGAAUAUCCCUCGUCAAUGCCUGAAAUCCACCAUUCGAGACUCCAUAGAACCUCCAGAUAGGAUGUCUUGGGGCUCCUACAGCCAAACAUUCCAGUAUUCCACAUGAGGAAGCCGGGCCCAGAGAGCUUAAGUUACUUGUCCAGCAUCACCCAGCUUGUUGCUGGGCCCAGAUCCAGAGUCUCUGAAUUCCCAUGAUAUUCCCUCCUUAGAAUCUUCUUUAGUAAUCAAAAUACUAGAGGGAAAGGGAGUGACACUUUCAUGUUCCUGGGACCUAGGAGGGAGUUCCUGAGAGGCUUCCUCUGUCCCCAGAAGAAGAAUCACACAGGAGGCUUUGCUUAAGAGGCCACUGACAUUUCACUAUAAGAAUUCCUUUCUUCACAGCAGGCAGCUGGGAUAGUGCUUCCUGGUUUUGCUCCAGGUCACAAAGGGGCAUUGUCCUCAGGGACACCACCUAUGCCCCUGCUCACCUAUCUGGGGAGCAGCCUACAGGCCUCUGUUGAGUGUGCAGGACCAGCCCCUGCCCUUGCCCAGAGAAGAGGGCCCCCACAUCACUGAGUUGGAAAUCUCUAGCCGGGGAUCUGUCUAGUCCAGCUUCCCGCCUUCAGACAGGGAUUUAUUAUCCCUGAGUUUACAGAGAAGGGCCUGAAUCCCAGAGAGGUUAACUGACUUGCCCAAGGUCAUACAGCUAGUAAUUAGAACAGUCACUUAAGGCUAUUACCUACUUAGAAUCCUCGUGGCAUAGACUGUGGGCGCUGAGAGUGAUCUUAUAAAUACAGUGACCGUAUUUUCAGAACCCAAAACUAGGACAUUGAGCCUGACAAAGCCAAGUGCAUUUACAGGGACAGGGAACAGAUUAUUUGAAUUGGUACUGCCCCAGAAAAGGGACCUGCGUGUGCGGGGCCAUCCAGUCCCAGCCCCUCUGUUCAUAGUUGAGGCAGCUGAAGGCCGGAGAGGCUAAAUGGCUUGCCAGAGGUCGUAGGCAGAAAUGUUUUGUUUUCUCAAACUCUGAAGGUUGAGUCAACAGGGUGUGGGUGGGGGAGGACAAGAAGGGCCCAUUGUUCCAGGCCGCCUUCCCUAGGGACGGCCUGGCCCCACAGCGCCUGUUCCCAUCCAGAAUGGGUGCAGCUGCCGCCAGACGCCAGAGCAAGAACGCCUGAAGCCAGACAAAGCUCAGGCUCUUCAGCUCUCACAGACCUGGGCAGCCGGACAAAAAGGAAUUCAGAGGACCACAGAGACAGGACGUUAACAUGACAAGAUAUAAGCUAAUGACCCCUCUGGCAUUUAAAUUCUGGUAUAAAUCAGGGCAACAAGUCACACUGACAGGUGUUGGAGAAGGGUCUACAUAAGCCCUGCAAUGAGCUAGGCACCAGAACUGCAACCUGCCUUUCAAGCUCACUGUCUGUUCCACUGGCAAAGAGUCUAGAUGGUUGGCAAAUGGCCGGACUCUACAGUGUGCUCCCAACUCUUGUCCCAAUUAGAGCACUUUUCUGUGUCCACCGUCCACCCAGCCUUCAAUCCUGCCUUGGAUGAGAGCAAGUGACAGUGAACUUGAGAAGAGAUAAUAAACACCUGAUCUCCCUGAUAGCAUCUUCUUUAAUUAUUUAAAGAAAGGGGUGGCUUCUUUAAAACCGCUUCCGUUCCAGUUCUUUUGUUAAAACUCUCGUAAAGUCAGUGACAGGUUGUGGAGCUGGGAGUAGGAAGGGGCUGGCGUUGUUAAGAGGGGACAGCGAGAAGAUGCUUUUAGACGGAAAAGGAAGGGUGAUGCAAACGACCCUUUAAUUAGAAGAAAGCUAUGCACACAUUUUCUUUUUCAACCAAAGAUGUCAGAAAAGACACCUUAUAUAUUAAAGAGCAGAUUUGAGAAGGGCAAAAGAACAGACAAGUGUAACUUCGAUGGGAAAGUGCUGCUGCCUGUGAAUACAGUGCACUGAGCAUGAGGUUUGGAGUCAGGUCUAAGGAGCGGCUCUGCCACUUCCUGGUUGGGUGACCUCAGACAAGCUAUUUAACUUACCUAACCUUCAGUUUCCUCAUCUGUAAAACAGACAUAAUCAUAGCCACCUUAUAAAGUUGACUUGAGGAUGAAAUGAGAGGGAGAAAGCAUGCAAGAGCUUAGCGAGACCCUAGUACAUGGUAGACACACAAUGCAUGGUUUUUUUGAAAAUGAAUACUGCACUGAAUGAACUGAGAAGAAAGAAAGUCAAGGGAGUGACUACCUGGACUGUUCUGAGGUUGUUUCUGGUGGAUUUAUUUCCCUG